Molecule: ribosomal RNA, 505 nt
Filed under: Scutellospora sp. Scut1
Lineage: Eukaryota; Fungi; Glomeromycota; Glomeromycetes; Diversisporales; Gigasporaceae
Description: SSU rRNA
Rfam family: Eukaryotic small subunit ribosomal RNA
Source: RNAcentral
AGCAGCCGCGGUAAUUCCAGCUCCAAUAGCGUAUAUUAAAGUUGUUGCAGUUAAAAAGCUCGUAGUUGAAUUUCGGGAUUCUACCGUCGGUCGGGCUAACAAGUCUGUACUGGUGUGUAGAAUUUCUACCUUCUGGGGAACUAUCAUGUUAUUAAUUUAGCGUGGUGGGAAACCAGGACUUUACCUUGAAAAAAUUAGAGUGUUCAAAGCAGGCUUACGUCUGAAUACAUUAGCAUGGAAUAAUAGAAUAGGACGGUGGUCCUGUUUUGUUGGUUUCUGAAUCACCGUAAUGAUUAAUAGGGAUAGUUGGGGGCAUUAGUAUUCAAUUGUCAGAGGUGAAAUUCUUGGAUUUAUUGAAGACUAACUUCUGCGAAAGCAUUUGCCAAGGAUGUUUUCAUUAAUCAAGAACGAAAGUUAGGGGAUCGAAGACGAUCAGAUACCGUCGUAGUCUUAACCAUAAACUAUGCCGACUAGGGAUCGGACGAUGUUAAAUUUUAUUGACUCG